Molecule: long non-coding RNA, 2238 nt
Filed under: Nicotiana benthamiana
Lineage: Eukaryota; Viridiplantae; Streptophyta; Magnoliopsida; Solanales; Solanaceae
Description: long non-coding RNA (NBEN_LNC011820)
Source: RNAcentral
UCGAGGACAAUCUGCAUAAGGUGUCUUAUCUAUUGUACUUACCUUUUGUCCAUAAAUCAUUAGUUAAAGCUAUUAAUGAUAGCUCAUUGUAGGUACUACGAAUUACGAAAGAUUGUCCUUUGGUUUUUAUACUAAUUCUAGCUUUAAGUAACAAUCCUCUCAUUGGAUUAACAUCUAGUGCGUGUGCCCUAAUCUAGCUCCUCUCCUCCCUCAACUUCAUUUUUUUUUAAAUUAAAAAAGAUAGCAUAUUAUAAAGCUUUUGUUAUCGGUGGGGUCGGAAAAAGAAUUGGUCUAAUGCUGUUACUUUGAAUUUUUACAUCAUAUUAUUUUCAUGACUUGAACUCAUAAUUCCCUCUUACUGUUGCAUCAAGACUCAUAAAAUCCUUUUCAUUAUACAAAAAGAAGAAAGAAAAGAAAUGGCAAAAUAACUCUCUUAGUCAUUUUCAAUCUAAAAAGAUGAUGUUGAUACUUGAAAUCAAGUGGAUUUGAAUAUGGAAUUGAUUCCAAAUCGAAAUUGAUAUUCAUGUGAAGUACCUAUUAAGUAUAAAUUGGGAAUGGAAAUAACCUUUAAAACAAUCCAUAUUAGGUACGAUCUUUAGUGGUGGGACGAUAUUUUAUUCUCUUUACUAAACUCUACGAGUUAAUAUUCUUAAUUAUACCAUCUAGGAUGAGAACUUUUGAUUGAUGGGACAUUUUACAGGUAAUUCUCAAAUAUGUAUUCUUAAUACAACUUUUACAUGGCAUCUUUGGCAACGCUAAAGAAUUUUACGUGGAGGGAUUUUGAUUGAUCAAUACUCAAAUUAUAAAUAUAAGAAGUCUCAUCAAACAAAUUGCACUUUGUUGGUUUUGAGUAUUCUUCUUGAUCGAUUCGUUCUGUUAUAAGCACUGACAAUAUAGAUAAUAUUAACUUAACAUUAUUACAUUAAGUUCACCUACAACAAUGUGAUAUAUAACUUUUCAUAUCAAACAUAAUUUUAGUAAUAACAUAUAUAAGCGCUUAAAUUAAACUCUAUAGUAAAUUAAAUUGAUUUUUUUUUUUGGUACCAGAAAAAAUAGUUUUUCUGUUUUCGUAGAGAUAAGAAUAAGAUCUUUAUAUAUUCUAUCUUCUCCGACCCUAAAUGCUACAUCAGAGAUGCAAAUGCAAUGAGCAUAUACUAACCUCAAUUUCUAUCACCAUGUGUCCACCACCAAAGCAUAUAAUUAAAUCUCUUUCCUUUCUCCAUUGUCCCAAUAACCACCACGAAAAACCUCUCCAUUAUUAUUCCACAAUGCAUUGCCACACAAGAAUCUUUCAAGAAAGGAAAGAUAUGACCUUUCUGCCUCCAUGUUGCCACACCAACCGAGUAACACAUAAUCAUUUUCUUUUUCCACCAUAUAAUUGCUAUAUUCUUAGGCUAUUUACUUUUUCUUUGAGUAUCUCAUCUCUAAUCUUCUAUGGAAUCAGUACUUAAAAUCUACUGAUUCAGCGCUAUUUACUUUUUCUUUGAGUAUCUGUUCUCUAAUCUUCUAUGGAAUCAGUACUUAAAAUCUACUGAUUCAGUGCAAUACAGAAAGGAAAAGGAAAAGACAAAAAAUACAAACAAAAUGUGGUGAUAUUCUCUAGGGUUAGUUCUUCCCUACGUGACAAUUCGCCUUUUCCCCCCAAGGCCACAGGAAAGGUACCAAUAGAAAAAAGUAACUGACAGAACAUGUUCUUUGCUCCCCAUUGUCUCCCUUCAUAACCUAGCUAGAUUAGUUUUCUUUUUUACUUGGCCACUUGCUUCGUCUAUGAACUAUAGCACAUUUUGUAUUCUCUAAGCUCUCGUUUUUUAAUUUUUUAAUUUUCUUUUUUGAAAAUAUUAUUUAGAAAAUAUGACCAUAUUUUGAGGAAAGAAAUUCAAAAAUUUUCAAGUUUCCAAAACUGGUUUAGGAUAUUUUUUGGGUGAAUAUUUUUUUCACUCACAAACAUUAGCUUUUCUCAAAAUAAGAUGCAUGUUUAUACACAACUUCAACUUUAGAAAAUUAUUUUUCAACAUAACUUUAAAACUCUUUUUCCAAGUUCAAUCAAAUAUAUGUUCAAACACUAGCUAAAUUACUUUUUUAUGUCUUAAAUAAAGCACGAUAGUUACAAAGUGAUGAAACUCGAUAAUCAAAAUAAAGAGAAGUUUAAAAAUGUCCAACAGAAUGAAUGACUUGUGACUUAGAAAUAUGUCAUGAAAUUUAAAUGGUUAUAGAAAAAGGCGAUGAAUAGAAAUAAAG